GGGCCCGCACAAGCAGUGGAGCAUGUGGUUUAAUUCGAAGCUACGCGAAGAACCUUACCAGGGCUUGACAUAGUUCUAAGACUCUAGAAAUAGAGGGAUAUACAGAACAUACAGGUGGUGCAUGGUUGUCGUCAGCUCGUGUCGUGAGAUGUUAGGUUAAGUCCUCCAACGAGCGCAACCCUUGUCCUUAGUUACCAUCAUUAAGUUGGGGACUUUAAGGAGACUGCCGGUGUAAGCCGGAGGAAGGUGGGG
This 252-nucleotide ribosomal RNA is filed under the name uncultured prokaryote. RNAcentral describes it as "partial 16S ribosomal RNA". It matches the Rfam family "Bacterial small subunit ribosomal RNA", at positions 917 to 1178 of the family's 1533-position model. The record is from RNAcentral.